GGGCCCGCACAAGCGGUGGAGCAUGUGGUUUAAUUCGAUGAUACGCGAGGAACCUUACCAGGGCUUAAAUGGGAAAUGACAGGGGCAGAGACGCCCCCUUCUUCGGACAUUUUUCAAGGUGCUGCAUGGUUGUCGUCAGCUCGUGCCGUGAGGUGUCAGGUUAAGUCCCGCAACGAGCGCAACCCCUAUCUUCAGUUGCCAUCAUUUAGUUGGGGACUCUGGAGAGACUGCCCGUGUAAGCGAGGAGGAAGGCGGGGACGACGUCAAAUCAUCAUGGCCUUUAUGCCUAGGGCUACACACGUGCUACAAUGGCAGGUACAGAGGGCAGCGAAGUCGCGAGGCUAAGCAAAUCUCAAAAAGCCUGUCCCAGUUCGGAUUGGAGUCUGGAACUCGACUCCAUG
RNAcentral lists this ribosomal RNA (401 nucleotides) under uncultured bacterium. RNAcentral's name for it is "bacterial SSU rRNA". It matches the Rfam family "Bacterial small subunit ribosomal RNA", at positions 917 to 1322 of the family's 1533-position model. The record is from RNAcentral.